This 433-nucleotide ribosomal RNA is filed under the name uncultured bacterium. Its description in RNAcentral is "partial 16S ribosomal RNA". It matches the Rfam family "Bacterial small subunit ribosomal RNA", at positions 29 to 507 of the family's 1533-position model. The record is from RNAcentral.
AACGAACGCUGGCGGCAUGCCUAACACAUGCAAGUCGAACGAGACCUUCGGGUCUAGUGGCGCACGGGUGCGUAACGCGUGGGAACCUGCCCUUAGGUUCGGAAUAACUCCCCGAAAGGGGUGCUAAUACCGGAUAAUGUCUUCGGACCAAAGAUUUAUCGCCUUUGGAUGGGCCCGCGUUGGAUUAGCUAGUUGGUAGGGUAAAAGCCUACCAAGGCGACGAUCCAUAGCUGGUCUGAGAGGAUGAUCAGCCACACUGGGACUGAGACACGGCCCAGACUCCUGCGGGAGGCGGCAGGGGGGAAUAUUGCAAAGGGGCCGAAUGCCUGAACCACCAAUCCCGGGUGAGUGAUGAGGCCUUUGGGGUUAAAAAGCUUUUUUCCCGGGGAUGAUAAUCACGGUCCCGGAAAAAAAAGCUCCGCCUACCCCCGUC